CCUACGGGUGGCAGCAGUGGGGAAUAUUGCUCAAUGGGGGAAACCCUGAAGCAGCCACGCCGCGUGGAGGAUGAAGGUUUUAGGAUUGUAAACUCCUUUUGUUAGAGGGGUUUAUGACGUUAUCUAACGAAUAAGCACAGGCUAACUCCGUGCCAGCAGCCGCGGUAAUACGGAGGGUGCAAGCGUUAUACGGAAUCACUGGGCGUAAAGAGUGCGUAGGCGGGGUAAUAAGUCAGAUGUGAAAUCCUGUAGCUUAACUACAGAACUGCAUUUGAAACUGUUGCUCUGGAGUGUGGGAGGGGUAGGUGGAAUGCUUGGUGUAGGGGUAAAAUCCAUAGAGAUCA
Molecule: ribosomal RNA, 344 nt
Filed under: uncultured bacterium
Lineage: Bacteria
Description: partial 16S ribosomal RNA
Rfam family: Bacterial small subunit ribosomal RNA
Source: RNAcentral